GAAAGCUGUGAAGAGAAAGGCAAACUUUGAAGAGAGCAAGAAAUUUAAAGAAAGGUUGCAAGAUUAUAAAAAGGAAAUGGCUGAGAAAGAAAAUGAAUCAUAUAUUCGAAUGGAGGACAUGGAUCUUCACUGAAUUCUUUUUUGCUGCAAUCCCGCGGCUUCAACUUUGUGAAACGAAGUUCCGGACUUUUCUUUACUUCAUGCUUACACCACAUAUCUACUGUUAUAAGAUUACAGCUGAGGUCAUAUAAUCUAUUUAGAAGUUCAUAUUUCCUUCUGUGGCUGAUGCUAUUCAUGGUUAGUCUAUUUCCAUCAUAUAUAGACAAUAAGUCUUGCUCUAAGCUGGUGUUGUACUGUAAAAACUUAUGUAUGAAAUCUUCACAACUAUGAAACGAUCGACAAGUAAAU
This 408-nucleotide long non-coding RNA is filed under the name Hordeum vulgare. RNAcentral's name for it is "long non-coding RNA (HVUL_LNC008258)". Lineage: Eukaryota; Viridiplantae; Streptophyta; Magnoliopsida; Poales; Poaceae. The record is from RNAcentral.